RNAcentral lists this ribosomal RNA (253 nucleotides) under uncultured bacterium. RNAcentral's name for it is "partial 16S ribosomal RNA". It matches the Rfam family "Bacterial small subunit ribosomal RNA", at positions 524 to 776 of the family's 1533-position model. The record is from RNAcentral.
UACGUAGGGUGCGAGCGUUGUCCGGAAUUAUUGGGCGUAAAGAGCUCGUAGGCGGCUUGUCACGUCGACUGUGAAAACCCGGGGCUCAACUCCGGGCCUGCAGUCGAUACGGGCUGGCUUGAGUGCGGUAGGGGAGACUGGAAUUCCUGGUGUAGCGGUGAAAUGCGCAGAUAUCAGGAGGAACACCGGUGGCGAAGGCGGGUCUCUGGGCCACUACUGACGCUGAGAAGCGAAAGCAUGGGGAGCGAACAGG